This 390-nucleotide ribosomal RNA is filed under the name Ligilactobacillus ruminis. RNAcentral describes it as "bacterial SSU rRNA". It matches the Rfam family "Bacterial small subunit ribosomal RNA", at positions 194 to 571 of the family's 1533-position model. Lineage: Bacteria; Bacillati; Bacillota; Bacilli; Lactobacillales; Lactobacillaceae. The record is from RNAcentral.
GUUCAUGUAAAAGACGGCUUUUGCUGUCACUUUUGGAUGGGCCUGCGGCGUAUUAACUUGUUGGUGGGGUAACGGCCUACCAAGGUGAUGAUACGUAGCCGAACUGAGAGGUUGAUCGGCCACAUUGGGACUGAGACACGGCCCAAACUCCUACGGGAGGCAGCAGUAGGGAAUCUUCCACAAUGGACGAAAGUCUGAUGGAGCAACGCCGCGUGAAUGAAGAAGGCCUUCGGGUCGUAAAAUUCUGUUGUCAGAGAAGAACGUGCGUGAGAGUAACUGUUCACGUAUUGACGGUAUCUGACCAGAAAGCCACGGCUAACUACGUGCCAGCAGCCGCGGUAAUACGUAGGUGGCGAGCGUUGUCCGGAUUUAUUGGGCGUAAAGGGAACG